UACGGAGGGCGCGAGCGUUAAUCGGAAUUACUGGGCGUAAAGCGCGCGUAGGCUGUUGUGCAAGUUGGGGGUGAAAUCCCACGGCUCAACCGUGGAACAGCCCUUGAUACUGCGCGACUUGAAUCCGGGAGAGGGUGGCGGAAUUCCAGGUGUAGGAGUGAAAUCCGUAGAUAUCUGGAGGAACAUCAGUGGCGAAGGCGGCCACCUGGACCGGUAUUGACGCUGAGGCGCGAAAGCGUGGGGAGCAAACAGG
Molecule: ribosomal RNA, 253 nt
Filed under: uncultured bacterium
Lineage: Bacteria
Description: partial 16S ribosomal RNA
Rfam family: Bacterial small subunit ribosomal RNA
Source: RNAcentral